RNAcentral lists this microRNA precursor (67 nucleotides) under Bombyx mori (domestic silkworm). Its description in RNAcentral is "mir-2774 microRNA precursor family". It matches the Rfam family "mir-2774 microRNA precursor family". Lineage: Eukaryota; Metazoa; Arthropoda; Insecta; Lepidoptera; Bombycidae. The record is from Rfam by way of RNAcentral.
ACGCCGCGGGGCGAUCGGUCUACCGAGCAAAUAUCACCCGCUCGGUGGAAAAUCUUCCUUUCGUCGU